UACGAAGGGUGCAAGCGUUACUCGGAAUUACUGGGCGUAAAGCGUGCGUAGGUGGUGAGUUAAGUCUGUCGUGAAAGCCCCGGGCUCAACCUGGGAAUGGCGAUGGAUACUGGCUCGCUAGAGUGCGGUAGAGGAGAGUGGAAUUCCCGGUGUAGCAGUGAAAUGCGUAGAGAUCGGGAGGAACAUCAGUUGCGAAGGCGGCUCUCUGGACCAGCACUGACACUGAGGCACGGAAAGCGUGGGGAGCAAACAGG
This 254-nucleotide ribosomal RNA is filed under the name uncultured bacterium. Its description in RNAcentral is "partial 16S ribosomal RNA". It matches the Rfam family "Bacterial small subunit ribosomal RNA", at positions 524 to 776 of the family's 1533-position model. The record is from RNAcentral.